RNAcentral lists this ribosomal RNA (464 nucleotides) under uncultured bacterium. RNAcentral describes it as "partial 16S ribosomal RNA". It matches the Rfam family "Bacterial small subunit ribosomal RNA", at positions 29 to 507 of the family's 1533-position model. The record is from RNAcentral.
ACGAACGCUGGCGGCGUGCUUAACACAUGCAAGUCGAACGGAAAGGCCCCUUUGGGGGUACUCGAGUGGCGAACGGGUGAGUAACACGUGAGUAACCUGCCCUUGACUUCGGGAUAACUUCAGGAAACUGGGGCUAAUACCGGAUAGGAAUCCUUGCUGCAUGGUGGGGGUUGGAAAGCUUCGGCGGUUUUGGAUGGACUCGCGGCUUAUCAGCUUGUUGGUGGGGUAGUGGCUUGCCAAGGCUUUGACGGGUAGCCGGCCUGAGAGGGCGACCGGCCACAUUGGGACUGAGAUACGGCCCAGACUCCUACGGGAGGCAGCAGUGGGGAAUAUUGCACAAUGGGCGGAAGCCUGAUGCAGCAACGCCGCGUGCGGGAUGACGGCCUUCGGGUUGGAAACCGCUUUCAGCAGGGGCGAAGCUUGUGGUGACGGUACCUGCAGAAGAAGCACCGGCUAACUACGUG